Molecule: ribosomal RNA, 465 nt
Filed under: Vreelandella stevensii
Lineage: Bacteria; Pseudomonadati; Pseudomonadota; Gammaproteobacteria; Oceanospirillales; Halomonadaceae
Description: partial 16S ribosomal RNA
Rfam family: Bacterial small subunit ribosomal RNA
Source: RNAcentral
CCUACGGGGGGCUGCAGUGGGGAAUAUUGGACAAUGGGCGAAAGCCUGAUCCAGCCAUGCCGCGUGUGUGAAGAAGGCUUUCGGGUUGUAAAGCACUUUCAGUGGGGAAGAAAGCCUUGGGGCUAAUACCCUCGAGGAAGGACAUCACCCACAGAAGAAGCACCGGCUAACUCCGUGCCAGCAGCCGCGGUAAUACGGAGGGUGCGAGCGUUAAUCGGAAUUACUGGGCGUAAAGCGCGCGUAGGCGGUCUGAUAAGCCGGUUGUGAAAGCCCCGGGCUCAACCUGGGAACGGCAUCCGGAACUGUCAGGCUAGAGUGCAGGAGAGGAAGGUAGAAUUCCCGGUGUAGCGGUGAAAUGCGUAGAGAUCGGGAGGAAUACCAGUGGCGAAGGCGGCCUUCUGGACUGACACUGACGCUGAGGUGCGAAAGCGUGGGUAGCAAACAGGAUUAGAUACCCCAGUAGUC